CGCCCGUCACACCAUGGGAGCUGGUAAUACCCAAAGUCGGUUUGCUAACCUAACGGAGGCGACUGCCUAAGGUAGGACUGGUGACUGGGGUGAAGUCGUAACAAGGUAUCCCUACGAGAACGUGGGGAUGGAUUACCUCCUUUCUACGGAGUACAAUUGAAGUUAUCCAUACUUCAUAUAUGUUAAUGGGCCAAUAUUCGUACCCAGUUUUGAGAGAAUUAUUCUCUCUUUUAUUCUUUGAAAACUGAAUUAGACAUUGAAAAUUAAAAUAUUAAUAUUCAAAAAUUUAGAUCAACCUAUAGAAUAUUCAAAAAUAUAGAGACAAACAAAAACAAUAGGUCAAAUACUUAUACGUAAUAUAUAACUAUUAAAUAAGCAAGAGUUUUUGGUGGAUGCCUUGGGUCUGGAAGUCGAUGAAGGACGUGAUUACCUGCGAUAAGCUUCGUUUAGCUGGAAAUAAGCAUUUAGACGGAGAUUUCCGAAUGGGGAAACCUAAUUAGGGUAAUGCCUAAUUGUCAUAAUCGGUGAAUCCAUAGCCGAAUGAUGAGACACGCUGUGAAUUGAAACAUCUCAGUAACAGCAGGAAAAGAAAAUAAAGAAUGAUUCCCUGAGUAGUGGCGAGCGAACGGGGAAAAGCCUAAACCAACACUUGUUGUUGGGGUUGUAGGACUACUUAUACAAAGUUAGACAAAUAUUUACAUAUAGCAGAAUAAGUUGGAAUGCUUAAACAUAGAGGGUGAAAUUCCCGUAAGCGAAAUGUGUAAAUCUUUUAGUAGUAUCCUGAGUAGGGCGGGGCACGUGAAACCCUGUCUGAAUCUGCCGGGACCACCCGGUAAGGCUAAAUACUAACCAGACACCGAUAGUGAACUA
RNAcentral lists this small RNA (870 nucleotides) under [Mycoplasma] indiense. Its description in RNAcentral is "bacterial LSU rRNA". The stretch from base 366 to 870 matches the Rfam family "Bacterial large subunit ribosomal RNA", at positions 1 to 497 of the family's 2925-position model. Lineage: Bacteria; Bacillati; Mycoplasmatota; Mycoplasmoidales; Metamycoplasmataceae. The record is from RNAcentral.